AUUGAACGCUGGCGGCAGGCCUAACACAUGCAAGUCGAACGGUAACAGGAAGAAGCUUGCUUCUUUGCUGAUGAGUGGCGGACGGGUGAGUAAUGUCUGGGAAACUGCCUGAUGGAGGGGGAUAACUACUGGAAACGGUAGCUAAUACCGCAUAACGUCGCAAGACCAAAAAGGGGGACCUUCUGGCCUCUUGCCAUCGGAUGUGCCCAGAUGGGAUUAGCUAGUAGGUGGGGUAACGGCUCACCUAGGCGACGAUCCCUAGCUGGUCUGAGAGGAUGACCAGCCACACUGGAACUGAGACACGGUCCAGACUCCUACGGGAGGCAGCAGUGGGGAAUAUUGCACAAUGGGCGCAAGCCUGAUGCAGCCAUGCCGCGUGUAUGAAGAAGGCCUUCGGGUUGUAAAGUACUUUCAGCGGGGAGGAAGGGAGUAAAGUUAAUACCUUUGCUCAUUGACGUUACCCGAAGAAGAAGCACCGGCUAACUCCGUG
RNAcentral lists this ribosomal RNA (490 nucleotides) under uncultured bacterium. RNAcentral's name for it is "partial 16S ribosomal RNA". It matches the Rfam family "Bacterial small subunit ribosomal RNA", at positions 30 to 507 of the family's 1533-position model. The record is from RNAcentral.